This 688-nucleotide long non-coding RNA is filed under the name Anas platyrhynchos platyrhynchos (common mallard). Its description in RNAcentral is "lncRNA (ENSAPLG00000019061.1)". The record is from RNAcentral. Lineage: Eukaryota; Metazoa; Chordata; Aves; Anseriformes; Anatidae.
UUUCCAUGUUCACCAUAGCUUGUUUACUUUCUUCAGACUUGCUAUUAAGCACAGAAACGUCAUUGGCUUCCUGAAUUACAGGGAACUCCACAGUCUCUUGUCGGUCUCUGAGGAAAUCCUUCCACCAUCUCUAAGGCUGGGCACUGCAUCUGCUCUCAGUGAAGUUUUCUGUCACCUCCUACAUCUGUAGUGCCAGCUUUCUGGCAAGGAGAAGACUUAGACAUCCAAAUCUCUUCAGCAAGAAAUAGGACGUGCACUGCAGCUACAGCUCUCUAUAAAAGGUAUGAAAAACAGUAGUAUUUUUGUCUCUGAAAGAAGCUCAAGGAAACACGCAUCUAUUUCAUGUUUUAUUUAAAUUUCUCAUAAUUGUAGAAUCAUUUAGUUUGGAACUCCUUACCUAAUAUUUAGUUGUACUGAUUAUUCUUCUGCCUAUUGCUAUCACCAUUAGGGCAUCUGUCUCACAGCGUUGCAUUUGUCUCAGGCUUCCAUAUUUUGUUUUCCCUCCGUCCCUUAGAGUUGUCUUUGAAAGAAGGCAUGCAUAUCUCGUAAAACCUCUAACAAGGUAACACAUUGAAAGAAGUGCCAGUCACUUAAUACAGGAAGGGGAAAAGAGUUUUCAGCUGUCAAGAGCAUAAAACACGUAGUAGAAUGCAAUAAAAUAAUACUGGUAAGGUCUUGCUUUCCUCUG